UGAUUGCAUCCUCUGAGGGAGA
Molecule: microRNA, 22 nt
Filed under: Cavia porcellus (domestic guinea pig)
Lineage: Eukaryota; Metazoa; Chordata; Mammalia; Rodentia; Caviidae
Description: cpo-miR-509d-3p
Gene: cpo-miR-509d-3p
Source: miRBase by way of RNAcentral